RNAcentral lists this ribosomal RNA (484 nucleotides) under uncultured bacterium. Its description in RNAcentral is "partial 16S ribosomal RNA". It matches the Rfam family "Bacterial small subunit ribosomal RNA", at positions 28 to 507 of the family's 1533-position model. The record is from RNAcentral.
GAUUAACGCUAGCGGCAGGCAUAAUACAUGCAAGUUGAACGGCAGCACAGGUAGCAAUACUGGGUGGCGAGUGGCGCACGGGUGCGUAACACGUAUGCAACCUACCCUAUACAGGCGAAUAACCUUUAGAAAUGAGGGCUAAUACGCCGUAGUAUUACAGAUGGGCAUCUAUUUGUAAUUAAAGAUUUAUCGGUAUAGGAUGGGCAUGCGUCCCAUUAGUUAGUUGGUAAGGUAACGGCUUACCAAGACGAUGAUGGGUAGGGGAUCUGAGAGGACUUACCCCCACACUGGUACUGAGACACGGACCAGACUCAUACGGGAGGCAGCAGUAAGGAAUAUUGGGCAAUGGCCGCGAGGCUGACCCAGCCAUGCCGCGUGCAGGAAGACGGCCUUAUGGGUUGUAAACUGCUUUUAUACGGGAAUAAUAGAGUGUACGCGUACAUUUAUGCAAGUAUCGUAUGAAUAAGCAUCGGCUAACUCCGUG